Lacerta agilis (Sand lizard) is the source of this 538-nucleotide long non-coding RNA. RefSeq lists it as uncharacterized. NCBI's taxonomy places the organism in Eukaryota, Metazoa, Chordata, Lepidosauria, Squamata, Lacertidae. The transcript has 2 exons. The record is from RefSeq and is a predicted model, not a curated record.
CUUUAUAUACAAUUUUGCCAGUACAAUUUUUUUAAAUAAGCUUUCCUGUAGCCUAGAUGGCAGGAAACAGUUGGGGAAGAAUCAAUAAGCUUUGAGAGAGGGAAUGCUUUUUGCUUCUGCCAGCGCCUAGUGGCAAUAUAGAGCCUCUCUAGGAAGUAACAUACUUUCCUGUCCUUUUAGCUUUAGAGCCGCUGCAGUGUGUGUGUUGUGACUCUCUCUCUCUCCCUAUGCAGCAUUUCACGAUUUAACACUCCUACAAAAGGAAACGGCAUACGUAAAAGAAAACCAGGGACACUAUCUGAAAUAUGCAACCUCUUCCUUCCAUAUUGAAGAUCCAACUACAGCAAAUACCAGAUGACAUAUUGCCAUAAUGGAGCUGGCAAAAUCCUCAUAUCCUCAAGUACUACAAGAGUGUACUUCUGAAUCUAAAAGCAUAUCAUGGUGAUGAAAUAAUCCCGGAGAGUAAGGAGAGCCAUGGAUAGCUGAAAUCUGCAGUCUUGGAUCUUUUUAAGCAUUAUUAAGGCUCUUUUUUUUUAAG